UAUAUAUAUGUAUACAUAUAUUUAUGUUGUUGACUCACUUGAGCAUUAAUUGUUUUUGUUUUUUUAUUUGAACAUGUUAUAAAUGUAUUUUGUGUGCGUUUUUUAUGGAAUAAUUACAUAUGCGUUUUUGAGUUUGAAAAGGAAAAAUGCAUCCAUAUACUUACAGACACACCAUAAGCAUACGUAUAGACACACAUAUACAUAAAUAGAAAUCUUGAAAAAAUAAUUAAGUCCAGAAAAAUAAAAGUUGGGAAAUACAAAAAAUUCCUGUUUAAUUUUAUUAAAAACUUAUUGAAAUGAAAAUAUAGUUUAAAUAAAAUAUAUAUAUAUGACAUACUAGAAUAUCAAGUGAUAUCAUGAAACUGUGAGUACAAACUAAUAACAAUGGUAUAUAUAUAUAUAUAUAUAUUUAUAUAUGUAUGAAUUUUUUUUUUUUUUUAACCUUUUUUUCUUGGCAUUAUUUACUUUUUUAUUUUAAAGCGUUACUAUUUAAAUAUAAGAUUAAAAAAGGAACAAAAACAGUAGGAGUUUUUAAUUUUAAGUGGUGACUUUGUGCGAAUGUUAGGUAUUAAAUGUACGUUUUUACACAAUUUGUGUCCAAGUAAUUUACAGAACAAUUACUCUUAAAUAAUGAAUACAUAUAUAUAAGCAACAAAACGAGUGUUUGAGACAUUUAUUAAAUAUAUUUGUUAUUUGGAUUAUUGCGUGUUUGAAAGUUUUAUUUAAAACAUUUUAAGUUUUUUUUUUUUUUUUUUUUUUUUUUUUUUUUUUACCUUUUGUUUGACUUGCUUUUUAUUUUCGUUAUUGCCUUAUAUAUUUGUUCUUUUAUUUUUACUUUAUUUAUUUUUUUUUUUUUUUAACUUUCUCGUAUGUCCAUUUUUUUUUUUUUUAAAAAAACAAAUUAAUUUUUAUAAUUUUAAAAAAAAAAAAAAAAAAUGAUAACAAUCGACAAUAAAAAUGAGGAUAAUGUCCAAGUAAGCAAAGGUUGUUGGUUAAAUGUAAAUAAAGUAAAUAGUUGUAAAAAGCAAAAAAAAAAAGUUGAUAAAGAGUUUUAUGAGUCUGAUCCAUCAUUUAACAUUCUUGAAACAUCUAUAGUAUUACCAAUUAUUAAAUUAAAAAAUGAUUUAUUAUGUAUAAGUGAAAAUAAACAAAUAAAUAGAUUAAGAGAAGAACAAAAAAGGAAACAAAAGAAGGAACAGACAGGAGGGAAAAUAGAAGAAAAAACAGGGAGGCAAAAGCAGACUAAUAUAGAAACAAAGAGCAAUAAAAUUGAUAUAAUAAAUGAUAAUGAAGUUAAUUCGAUUUUAUUAAGAAGCAAAGCUUUUAAUGAGACAUGGAAAUGUAUUAACGGUUUUUUGGACUGUUAUAUUUACAACUAUAUAAAUGAUAUGGUAAACAGAGAGAUAAAUAUUUUGAAUAAAAAUAUAUGCUUAAAAAGUGAUACAAUAUGUUUAGCCAUUGUAAGAACACAGGCAUGUGAUUUCGUUAAUAUGUUACAGUAUAGGAUUAUAUGUGAUCAUUUAGCUUUUAUAAAUAGUGGUGAAAAAGAAGAAGAAGAGGAAGAAAAAGAUGGAGAAGGAGAAAGAGGAGGGGAAAGAAGAGGAAGAAAAGAAUGUCAGGAAAAUGCGUGUGAGCAUAUUCACAAACAUAUAUUCGUUUACGAAAAUAGCAAUAAAAAACUUAUUCCAUGCACAGAAUUAAAAAGUCGUAAAACUAUAGUUUCGUGUAUAAUAAAUGUUUAUAGUAGUGAUAAUAUUGAUAGCAUUAUUAUAAGAAUACUAAAAAAUAUAGGUGAUAAUAAGAAAUCAUUAAAAAUAGAUCAAAAUAAUAUGCAUAGUUUGUUUCAAACUAUAGUAAAAAAAAAGAAAAACAUGGUUUUAAUUAUAUUUAUAAAAAAUUACAUAAAUAUAAAAUCAUCCAUAUUUAGUGCUUUAUUAUUAUAUUUAACACAUAUAAAAGAUACAAAUUUAAUCAAUAUAGGUGUAAUAGUAACAAAUAGUAGUAUAUUAUCAGCUUUGAACAACUUAGAUUUUAUGAUAAAAAAACAUGUCAAUGUUACUAUUUGUAAUAUGUAUAUAAAUUAUUAUAAUUUAUUAGAACACAUUGCAUUUAAUCCAUUAUUAUUACAUAACGUUUUAUAUAGGUUAAAGAGUUACCAAUUGAUUUUAGAUUAUAUUUAUUAUUAUAAUAGUGAUAUCACUUUUUUAAAAAUAAAAUAUUUUAUUUAUAUGUUUUUGCGAGAUUUUUAUGAUAAAAAAAUUUUAUCUUUUUUAAAUAUUCCUUUAACAUAUUUUAGUAGUACUCAAACGGGUGCUACUCGAACGGGUGUUACUCGAACGGGUGCUACUCGAACGGGUGUUACUCGAACGGGUACUACUCAAAAGGAUGUGGAAAAGAAAUAUGCGAACGAAAAUGCAUUAACAGGGGUAUUAAAAAGAGAGUAUGAAAAACCGUUUACAUAUUUUUACAAAGAACUAGUAGAAUCAUUAAAUAACAUAGACGUACAACAAAUACAUGACAAAUUUAUUCUCCUUUUUUAUGCAAGUAAUUUUUAUAAUUUACAUAUUAACCAUUUUAAACUAAAAGGGAAUUGCUAUACGCAAUAUAUGCUAAACGAGUUAUCAAAAAAAAAAAAAAAAAAUGAACACCUUGAUGAUGAUAAUGGUAAUAGUAUUAAUAGGAAUAAUAAUAAUAAUGAUAAUAAUAAUAAUAAUAAUAAUAGUAAUAUUAAUUAUGAUAAGUACCAUGGAAUUUUGAAAGAUAAUAAGGUUGAGGUUAUAAAUGCUCGUAGGAACCAAACAUGCUCAAAAAGAAAAAGAGAAGAUGAUUGUUUUUAUAACUGUAUAAAAAAUUUUGGUUGUACUAACUACUGUCAAAAUGUAAAUAAUAAGGAUAAUUGGGAGGAAAAUGAUAAUUCUUACAAUGACUAUAAUGAUGGUAAUAGUGGUAAGACUACUGGCUAUAAUAGUAGUGAGGUAAGUAGUGCGGCCAGCAGAGAAAACAAUAACAAGGACAGGACUCGUAACAAUAAAAAAGAUAUAAAAUUGAUGCAUGAAAUAAUACAUUUAUCCUUUCAAAAUAAUUUAUUAAUGAAAAAAUUAAAAAUAAAUAAGCAGUAUAAAAAUUAUUAUUAUCAAAAUUAUACAUUACAUAAUUUAUUUGUAAGUUUAUCACCGAUUACAAAACAAACAAAUAAUAACAUUUUAGAUGAUUGUAUUAUACUCAAACAACAUAUAAUUAAUAAUUUGCACAUGCACAUGAAACUAGAACAUAAUUUUGAUUCUUUAAAAAUACUUAAAAAAGAGUGGUGUAAUAAUGAGUAUGUGCAUAUUUAUAAAUAUGAAAAAGUAGCUGCACAAUUGGUAGCUAGUUAUGAAAAUACUAGCCACGAUCAUAAAAAUACUACUCCUAACUAUGUACAAAAAAAUACACCAAUAAAUAUGCCUAAUCAUUGUAGUACUACCCCUAACUAUGUACAAAAAAAUACAUCAAUAAAUACGCCUAAUCAUUAUAGUGUUACACCUAGCCAUGGUCUAAUGAAUAUGCCUAAUAACACUAUUAACCAAGAUAAUAAUCGUAAAGAAAAAAAUCGUAUAAAAAAAUUGUUAUUGUUACAUUUACACAAUUACUUAGCUAAAUCAAUUAGUAAAAAAAUGAUUAUACUUUUAUACAUAAAACAAAAAUAUAGCAUAUGCUUAGCAAUUAUUGAUAUAAUCUUAAAAAAUAUGCCAGUACAAUCUUCACUAAGAAAACGAGUAAACAUCAUAACAGAAUUGUUCCAAAAGUAUGAACAGAAACAUAUAAUACAAGAUAUGUAUGACCUUAAUAAAGCAAAUGAUG
RNAcentral lists this long non-coding RNA (3840 nucleotides) under Piliocolobus tephrosceles (Ugandan red Colobus). RNAcentral describes it as "lncRNA (ENSPTEG00000007336.1)". Lineage: Eukaryota; Metazoa; Chordata; Mammalia; Primates; Cercopithecidae. The record is from RNAcentral.